GACGAACGCUGGCGGCGUGCUUAACACAUGCAAGUCGAACGGAAAGGCCCUGCUUUUGUGGGGUGCUCGAGUGGCGAACGGGUGAGUAACACGUGAGUAACCUGCCCUUAACUUUGGGAUAACUUCAGGAAACUGGGGCUAAUACCGGAUAGGAGCUCCUGCUGCAUGGUGGGGGUUGGAAAGUUUCGGCGGUUGGGGAUGGACUCGCAGCUUAUCAGCUUGUUGGUGGGGUAGUGGCUUACCAAGGCUUUGACGGGUAGCCGGCCUGAGAGGGUGACCGGCCACAUUGGGACUGAGAUACGGCCCAGACUCCUACGGGAGGCAGCAGUGGGGAAUAUUGCACAAUGGGCGGAAGCCUGAUGCAGCAACGCCGCGUGCGGGAUGACGGCCUUCGGGUUGUAAACCGCUUUCGCCUGUGACGAAGCGUGAGUGACGGUAAUGGGUAAAGAAGCACCGGCUAACUACGUG
RNAcentral lists this ribosomal RNA (468 nucleotides) under uncultured bacterium. RNAcentral's name for it is "partial 16S ribosomal RNA". It matches the Rfam family "Bacterial small subunit ribosomal RNA", at positions 28 to 507 of the family's 1533-position model. The record is from RNAcentral.